AUUGAACGCUGGCGGCAGGCUUAACACAUGCAAGUCGAGCGGGGUGAUGGUGCUUGCACUAUCACUUAGCGGCGGACGGGUGAGUGAUGCUUAGGAAUCUGCCUAUUAGUGGGGGACAACAUCUCGAAAGGGAUGCUAAUACCGCAUACGUCCUACGGGAGAAAGCAGGGGAUCACUUGUGACCUUGCGCUAAUAGAUGAGCCCAAGUCGGAUUAGCUAGUUGGUGGGGCAAAGGCCUACAAAGGCGACGAUCUGUAGCGGGUCUGAGAGGAGGGUCCGCCACAUGGGGACAGAGACACGGCCCAGACUCCUACGGGAGGCAGCAGUGGGGAAGAUUGGACAAUGGGGGGAACCCUGAUCCAGCCAUGCCGCGUGUGUGAAGCAGGCCUUAUGGUUGUAAAGCACUUUAAGCGAGGAGGAGGCUCUUUUGGUUAAUACCCAAGAUGAGUGGACGUUACUCGCAGAAUAAGCACCGGCUAACUCUGUGCCAGCAGCCGCCGUAA
Molecule: ribosomal RNA, 503 nt
Filed under: uncultured bacterium
Lineage: Bacteria
Description: partial 16S ribosomal RNA
Rfam family: Bacterial small subunit ribosomal RNA
Source: RNAcentral